RNAcentral lists this unclassified non-coding RNA (383 nucleotides) under Hevea brasiliensis (rubber tree). Lineage: Eukaryota; Viridiplantae; Streptophyta; Magnoliopsida; Malpighiales; Euphorbiaceae. The record is from RNAcentral.
UUUGAAUAUGAUUGAUUUCUUGCCAAUUUUGAGAUGGUUUGGUUAUAAAGGACUUGAGAAGAAGAUGGAUGUUAUUCAUAGUAAAAGAAAUGAAUUCCUCAAUACCUUGCUUGAUGAAUUUCGACGCAAUAAAAUCAGUGGUCUAAAGUCAAAUAGCAGCAAUACGCUGAUUGAAACUCUGCUGUCUUUCCAGGAAUCAGAACCUGAAUUCUACACAGACGAUAUCAUCAAAAGUAUUAUGCUGGUUGUUUUUGUUGCAGGAACAGAAACCUCGUCAUCGACAAUCCAAUGGGUAAUGAGGCUUCUAUUAGCUCAUCCUGAGGUAUUGCAUAAGCUAAGAGCUGAUAUUGACAACAAAGUUGGGAACAAACGUUUAGUACGCG